Molecule: ribosomal RNA, 484 nt
Filed under: uncultured bacterium
Lineage: Bacteria
Description: partial 16S ribosomal RNA
Rfam family: Bacterial small subunit ribosomal RNA
Source: RNAcentral
AUUGAACGCUGGCGGCAGGCCUAACACAUGCAAGUCGAGCGGAUGAAGGGAGCUUGCUCCUGGAUUCAGCGGCGGACGGGUGAGUAAUGCCUAGGAAUCUGCCUGGUAGUGGGGGAUAACGUCCGGAAACGGGCGCUAAUACCGCAUACGUCCUGAGGGAGCAAGUGGGGGGUCUUCGGACCUCACGCUAUCAGAUGAGCCUAGGUCGGAUUAGCUAGUUGGUGGGGUAAAGGCCUACCAAGGCGACGAUCCGUAACUGGUCUGAGAGGAUGAUCAGUCACACUGGAAGUGAGACACGGUCCAGACUCCUAGGGGAGGCAGCAGUGGGGAAUAUUGGACAAUGGGCGAAAGCCUGAUCCAGCCAUGCCGCGUGUGUGAAGAAGGUCUUCGGAUGGUAAAGCACUUUAAGUGGGGAGGAAGGGCAGUAAGUUAAUACCUUGCUGUUUUGACGUUACCAACAGAAUAAGCACCGGCUAACUUCGUG